CAUACGGGUGGCUGCAGUGGGGAAUAUUGGACAAUGGGCGAAAGCCUGAUCCAGCCAUGCCGCGUGUGUGAAGAAGGCCUUCGGGUUGUAAAGCACUUUCAGUGGGGAAGAAAGCCUUGGGGCUAAUACCCUCGAGGAAGGACAUCACCCACAGAAGAAGCACCGGCUAACUCCGUGCCAGCAGCCGCGGUAAUACGGAGAGUGCGAGCGUUAAUCGGAAUUACUGGGCGUAAAGCGCGCGUAGGCGGUCUGAUAAGCCGGUUGUGAAAGCCCCGGGCUCAACCUGGGAACGGCAUCCGGAACUGUCAGGCUAGAGUGCAGGAGAGGAAGGUAGAAUUCCCGGUGUAGCGGUGAAAUGCGUAGAGAUCGGGAGGAAUACCAGUGGCGAAGGCGGCCUUCUGGACUGACACUGACGCUGAGGUGCGAAAGCGUGGGUAGCAAACAGGAUUAGAUACCCUUGUAGUC
Molecule: ribosomal RNA, 465 nt
Filed under: Vreelandella stevensii
Lineage: Bacteria; Pseudomonadati; Pseudomonadota; Gammaproteobacteria; Oceanospirillales; Halomonadaceae
Description: partial 16S ribosomal RNA
Rfam family: Bacterial small subunit ribosomal RNA
Source: RNAcentral